AAGCUCGUAGUUGGAUUUCUGUUAAUUGUUUAUAUUUGUUAUCUAUUGAUACUUGUAUAACAUUAACAUAAUUCAUAUUACUAUUUAUCUAGUAUAUGAAAUUUUACUUUGAGAAAAUUAGAGUGCUUAAAGCAGGCUUUUGCCUUGAAUACUCCAGCAUGGAAUAAUAUUAAAGAUUUUUAUCAUUCUUAUUGGUUCUAAGAUAGAAAUAAUGAUUAAUAGGGACAGUUGGGGGCAUUUGUAUUUAACAGUCAGAGGUGAAAUUCUUAGAUUUGUUAAAGACAAACUAGUGCGAAAGCAUUUGCCAAGGAUGUUUUCAUUAAUCAAGAACGAAAGUUAGGGGAUCGAAGACGAUCAGAUACCGUCGUAGUCAUAACCAUAAACUAUGCCAACUAGAGAUUGGAGGUUGUUCCUUACUCCUUCAGCACCUUA
RNAcentral lists this ribosomal RNA (432 nucleotides) under Cryptosporidium environmental sequence. RNAcentral describes it as "SSU rRNA". It matches the Rfam family "Eukaryotic small subunit ribosomal RNA", at positions 624 to 1090 of the family's 1831-position model. Lineage: Eukaryota; Apicomplexa; Conoidasida; Eucoccidiorida; Cryptosporidiidae. The record is from RNAcentral.